This is a non-coding RNA of Arenimonas malthae CC-JY-1, 115 nucleotides long. The record is from Rfam. NCBI's taxonomy places the organism in Bacteria, Pseudomonadati, Pseudomonadota, Gammaproteobacteria, Lysobacterales, Lysobacteraceae.
CACCUACCGCGGCCAACGCCGGGGGGCGUCGACCAGACUGAACAGGGGCUGGUCAGGCGCGCGGUGGGGAUGCCAGGGCCUGGAGCUCCCGGGGGGGAGCUCCAGGCCCUUUUUU